This is a long non-coding RNA of Triticum dicoccoides, 189 nucleotides long. RefSeq lists it as uncharacterized. Lineage: Eukaryota; Viridiplantae; Streptophyta; Magnoliopsida; Poales; Poaceae. The record is from RefSeq and is a predicted model, not a curated record. The transcript has 3 exons.
GGAGAAUCAAGCUGUGAUUUGGUUGUCCUCAAGAUUGGUGACCAGUGGUCACUCCUCCAUAAGAUGAGUCGUAGCAUGACAUGAGAAAGCAAAAUAGUAAACAAAGACCAGAAGUCACCGUUUCUAAUGUCAGGUUGCAAAGUCACUUAUGGCGAUGGUACAAUGCUGAUGAGUCUCUCUGUACCUACC